This 460-nucleotide ribosomal RNA is filed under the name uncultured bacterium. RNAcentral's name for it is "partial 16S ribosomal RNA". It matches the Rfam family "Bacterial small subunit ribosomal RNA", at positions 338 to 795 of the family's 1533-position model. The record is from RNAcentral.
CCUACGGGUGGCAGCAGUGAGGAAUAUUGGUCAAUGGACGCGAGUCUGAACCAGCCAAGCCGCGUGCAGGAAGACGGCUCUAUGAGUUGUAAACUGCUUUUGUACGGGGGCAAAGACAGAGACGCGUAUCUGGAUGAAAGUAUCUGAAGAAUAAGGAUCGGCUAACUCCGUGCCAGCAGCCGCGGUAAUACGGAGGAUGCAAGCGUUAUCCGGAUUUAUUGGGUUUAAAGGGUGCGUAGGCGGUCGGAUAAGUUAGAGGUGAAAUCCCGAGGCUCAACUUCGGAAUGGCCUUUGAUACUGUUCGGCUAGAGAGGAGUUGCGGUAGGCGGAAUGUAUGGUGUAGCGGUGAAAUGCUUAGAGAUCAUACAGAACACCGAUUGCGAAGGCAGCUUACCAAGCUACUUCUGACGUUGAGGCACGAAAGCGUGGGGAGCAAACAGGAUUAGAUACCCGAGUAGUC